RNAcentral lists this ribosomal RNA (449 nucleotides) under uncultured bacterium. RNAcentral describes it as "partial 16S ribosomal RNA". It matches the Rfam family "Bacterial small subunit ribosomal RNA", at positions 29 to 523 of the family's 1533-position model. The record is from RNAcentral.
AACGAACGCUGGCGGCAUGCCUAAUACAUGCAAGUCGAACGAGAUCUUCGGAUCUAGUGGCGCACGGGUGCGUAACGCGUGGGAAUCUGCCCUUGGGUUCGGAAUAACGUCGGGAAACUGACGCUAAUACCGGAUGAUGACGUAAGUCCAAAGAUUUAUCGCCCAAGGAUGAGCUCGCGUAGGAUUAGCUAGUUGGUAAGGUAAAGGCUUACCAAGGCGACGAUCCUUAGCUGGUUUGAGAGGAUGAUCAGCCACACUGGGACGGAGCCACGGCCCAUACUCCUACUGGAGGCAGCAGUAGGGAAUAUUGGACAAUGGGCGCAAGCCUAAUCCAGCAAUGCCGCGUGAGUGAUGAAGGCCUUAUGGUUGUAAAGCUCGUUUACCCGGGAUGAUAAUGACAGUACCGGGGGAAUAAGCCCCGACUAACUCCGUUCCAGCCGCCGCCGUAA